UGCCCCAUGGCUGAGUUGGUUACAGCGUCCGACUGUUAUUCACGAUCAUCGGAAGGUCGAGAGUUCGACCCUCUCUGGGGCAG
Molecule: transfer RNA, 83 nt
Filed under: Lentinula lateritia
Lineage: Eukaryota; Fungi; Basidiomycota; Agaricomycetes; Agaricales; Omphalotaceae
Description: tRNA-Asn
Source: RNAcentral